AGCCACCAGCGAGAUCUGAACUCGGACCCCUGGUUUACGAGACCAGUGCUCUAACCUCUGAGCUAUGGUGGC
Molecule: transfer RNA, 72 nt
Filed under: Araneus ventricosus
Lineage: Eukaryota; Metazoa; Arthropoda; Arachnida; Araneae; Araneidae
Description: tRNA-Thr
Source: RNAcentral